GCCCCAGAAACAGGGAGCAGCACAAACAUCCCAGACAUGUCUGAAGCGCUGCUAGACUCCAUUGCCCUCAUACAAACUUUCAGUACAUCCCUACCCGUUCCUCAGCUGCAUGGGAGGUUGAACACCUACAAGUCAUCCAGAAUGUUCUAAGCAUGUGCCGUGAGCAACUUGGCAGCUCUAAAGCGCGAGGAAGAAGGAACAGUUGCAAAGGUGAAGAGCAAUGAUAUGUAUGUGUUGGACCAAGAAAUAAAGCUAAGCUACGUGUCUAAUAGAAAGCCUCCCAUUAACUCUUCAGAAAUAAUUUUGGGGAAUUAGUCCUCCAAGAAAUCCUUACCAAAUGAACUCUACGAUGGAUCUUGAAGAAAUUUAAAAUCAGGUCAUAUGGCUCUAUGUUUGAUGGGAUGGAAAGGAAGAAGAAAUGCUUCCCCACCUGCACCAUGGCAACUUUCCUUCACAUUUCCUGAAGCAAACUGACAUGCUGAAAUCGGAAAAGAAACACGACUCUACUGCUGCUUUUUGUGCUAGGCACAUGGUUAAGAAUGCUAUUGUACAUUCAUGUCUAGAAGUGGCUUGCUGCACUGUACUUUGCCUCCACUGCUGAUUCAUCUGUCCUUGUCACUGUUCUGUGCAGAAGGAAAAUACAACUAGAUUGCCUCAGAAGCAUAAAGGAGUUUACUUCACAAACUGUAAAACAAGUUUACAUGGCUUUUUCAAUCUCAAAUUGGGAAAAGCAAACAAACAAACAAUGGAAAGAAAAGAUUUCACACAAGAUACUAGAAACAAUGCAAAUUUUUACCUAGGAAAAC
Molecule: long non-coding RNA, 806 nt
Organism: Cygnus atratus (black swan)
Lineage: Eukaryota; Metazoa; Chordata; Aves; Anseriformes; Anatidae
Exons: 4
Source: RefSeq, a predicted model, not a curated record